This 543-nucleotide long non-coding RNA is filed under the name Equus caballus (horse). Its description in RNAcentral is "lncRNA (ENSECAG00000044274.1)". Lineage: Eukaryota; Metazoa; Chordata; Mammalia; Perissodactyla; Equidae. The record is from RNAcentral.
GGGAAAUAUUCAGGAAGAAGGACCAGGAGGGCUUCACGAAGCUCUCCAGAGAUGUGUCCCAUCCCACGGUCUUUGGUGGCUGGUACCUCUGAGGAACAGAUUUUAAACAACUGAUGCAUCUUUUCAUGGCUGUUAUGAUUCCUGGGAAGUCCUCUGAGGGAGAUAGAGAAACCCUACACUGAUAGGAAUCAGCAGGGUACAGUUUUUUGUCGAAGUCCGUUGCAUCGUCCAGUAAGGAACAAAGUAGGAGAGGCCUCAGGGAUUCUGCAGGAGAUGAGCUGCCCGCUGGCCCCCUUCCGUGGGCUUGUGCCCCAGGGGGUCUGCUCUCCGGUGUCCUUCCCCAUUUCCACCAGGAUUUACAUCACAGGAGCUCCUGAGGGGCCACAGGGACCAGUGCUACGGCCCCUUUGACCCAUGGGUAGGGGCGCCCUACCAAGCCAGAAAAGAUGUCCUUGAGCCAAGGUCAGUGACCUGAAAUGGGGCCCCUACUUGACCUCGGACCUGUCCGUGAGACUUUUGAAGAAUUCCUACCAGUGACGGCCU